This 433-nucleotide ribosomal RNA is filed under the name uncultured bacterium. Its description in RNAcentral is "partial 16S ribosomal RNA". It matches the Rfam family "Bacterial small subunit ribosomal RNA", at positions 29 to 507 of the family's 1533-position model. The record is from RNAcentral.
AACGAACGCUGGCGGCAUGCCUAACACAUGCAAGUCGAACGAGACCUUCGGGUCUAGUGGCGCACGGGUGCGUAACGCGUGGGAACCUGCCCUUAGGUUCGGAAUAACUCCCCGAAAGGGGUGCUAAUACCGGAUAAUGUCUUCGGGCCAAAGAUUUAUCGCCUUUGGAUGGGCCCGCGUUGGAUUAGCUAGUUGGUAGGGUAAAAGCCUACCAAGGCGACGAUCCAUAGCUGGUCUGAGAGGAUGAUCAGCCACACUGGGACUGGGACACGGCCCAGACUCCUACGGGAGGCAGCAGUGGGGAAUAUUGGACAAUGGGCGAAAGCCUGAUCCAGCAAUGCCGCGUGAGUGAUGAAGGCCUUAGGGUUGUAAAGCUCUUUUACCCGGGAUGAUAAUGACAGUACCGGGAGAAUAAGCUCCGGCUAACUCCGUG